Zootoca vivipara (common lizard) is the source of this 13921-nucleotide non-coding RNA. The record is from RefSeq and is a predicted model, not a curated record. NCBI's taxonomy places the organism in Eukaryota, Metazoa, Chordata, Lepidosauria, Squamata, Lacertidae.
GGGAAGGAGGCAAUGCUCAUUAAGUGUGUGAUAUGCAACCGGUUCAGAACUCUGCCUGUCCACUGAGAGAGCCUUUCACUGCUGCCUGGCAAGCCCGACAUUUGAACUCACUCAGGAAAAGAGAGUGGAUUUUACUUUUCCAAAGUGGAAAGAAUACCUUCAUCGGGGGCAGCUUUCCUUUCCGUAGCAUCCAGGAGAAGUUGGAAACUGUACAUAGCUAAGACGAAGACAAUUUGCUGAUUUCUUUUGUGCUGUUCUGAUUGAACACAAAUGCGCGUCUUUUGGGAGGGAGGGAGAAAAGGAGAAGAGUUUGCUACUGGUGGAAUGAAUACAAUGCAGCUUUUGGAAGCUGAAGUUCACAUCUUGAGGGAAUUUGUUGAACCAUUUGAAGUCUUCCUUAAAUAAUGUGCCCAACAGCAGGAAGACUGUCUACAUCAAGAAGAACUGUGUUCACACAACCAGGAAGAAGCACAAACUGUUGAAUGACCCUGGAGCACGGCUGCCAUGUGCUUCUCUUCGACGCCAGUGGCUACAGAGCUGCAGGUGUUUUCCUGGAGACACAAAAGUUAACAAGGAUAGAGGUGUUGGCCAACAGCCAGGAGGAUAAAAUUGCCCAGAAGAGAAAGAUGAGGAACUACAAGAGUCGUCCCAUGCUGAGUUUUUGUACCUUUGUGGCUCUCGAAGCAAACACAUAGAUCUCCCCUUGGCAGAUGGACUGAUCCUAUUUCUACCCUUUCACAUCCAGGUACUGGGUUUGGGGUGGGGUAGUUUGAAGCAUUUAUAAGACUAGUACAUUGACAUUGGAUUUGUAAGAGUAGCUUAACAUUCCAUUUCCCUUCGCAAGGAAUUCUGUGGAUUGUAGUUCUGAGAGGGGAAUAUGAGCUCAUAACAACUCUCAGAACCCUUAACAAACUCCAGCUCCCAGAAUUCUUUGGGUGAAGCCAUGGCUGUUGAAAGUGGUGUCAUAGGGUGGCCUCAGUAUAAGGAACACCAAGACUGCAUAUGAAAAUGCACUUAGAUUUCUCACAGAAAGAAUGCACCAUACUGGCAUAAACAACCAAAGUUACAAAUAAUUUCUUAUGUUAACAAUACUCCAAUGUUCAUUUUUAUAAGCUGCUGGAUACUGGCUUUGCAUGUAUCAUUUUGCAAGAACCCUCACUGUGUUCUGUAUUGUAUCAGUAUGAGAAAGCCAAAAUAAAUAAAGAGUGUGGCACUGAGAAACAUAUGUAUAACUUUAACAAAAUGGCAAAAUGCUCAGUGCGUUUCAAUGGAAGCCUUCCUCAGUAAAUUUAGUUUACUGAUCUUUCCAGUAAGGCUACACCACCAGGAGUGGUGAUGACUGCAGUUCAUCACAGGUCACGCCAUGGCUGAACUGGGAUUUGAACUCAGGUCCAAUGACUGUCCGAAACACCUCCUCUCACCCCCAGUGUCCCAGCCCCAUAGAGGGUGUACAUGGAUUUUCAGGUGCUCCUCCUGGUGAAAACCAUCAUUUCCGCAACACUGGCACCACAUAGUGAGAUAUAAGCAUUGUUUGACACUUGAGUAUCUGGUCAUUUUAUCAUGCAAUUUCCUGGAGAGUUCAGUCAACUCAGCUUUUGGAGGAAGGGAUCUUGUGAUGGGUAAAUCUGCCAUAUUCAGUUCCUUUCAGUUUCUCAUUUUUCCAACCUUAGAUUCCGUUUUCCACAUUUCCACGUGUGGGUUUUUCCUUUUUAAGUCCUCAUAAAAAUCCACCAGCUUUUUAGUGUGAAUUUCUCCCAAUAUACACAUUUCGGCAAAGCUGUUAUGACAUUUUGGCAUGCUUCAUUCAAUAAUAUAUGCAGUUUUAUGCACACUUUACCCUAGUAUAUGCCUUUGUGCAUGCCGCACUGGACUUAGAGAACAGCACUGCAAAAUCUGGAGAAAGGUGAAUUCCAAAAGAUAGUCAUGUUUUGUCUCACAUAUUGUUCUGGAAAAUACAGAUUCUCUGAGUUCACCUUUGAAUGUGAACUGAAUUGAGUUUCUUCUCCAUCUGUAGGAGGGGCAUUGGCCAAUCCACAAGAUGUAUUCCUCCUUAAGAACAAGAAAAGUCCUCUCUCUGUUCUGUGUCUGUAUGUGUGUGUGAGAGGCCUCCCGCUUCUUUCCAGCAAGGGAAUGUAAGCAGAUAUUGGCCCAAAAGCACUUUGCUCAGCAGUUUUUGGCUUGUUUUAAUUGGCCAGCCCUGCAAGCAUUCUGGACACUGUACCUGCGCCAACAAAAAUUCUCCACUUAGGUUCAGCGAGUCCUGAUUCUGAGAACAGGAGAGGGACAUGGACUCACGAAAAGGAAUGAGAAAAGCCAGGCUCAUGUGUUAAAACAAUUCCUUGGAAAGGUGGUGGUGUGAGGAGAACAUGUAUAGAAUAUAGAAAAUACCAGCUACACCCAUUUGCUGAUUGUCCUCAGGAGCCUAUUUGACUUUUCCUGGCGUAAAGAUUACUGCGGCUGUUCUUGAGCUUCCUUUAUGUGUGUGUGUGUGUGUGUGUGUGUGUGUGUGUGUAAGAUGCAUGUUUCAUAUCAAAACAGUAGCAGGUUGUUUCCUCUGAGAAAAGCCAAAGGAAGCCAACUGACCAUGCAUUGUGGUUUGCCAAAGGCUUGACCAUCUGAGUCUCUUGAUCAGGCAUCCCCAAACUUCGGCCCUCCAGAUGUUUUGGACUACAAUUCCCAUCAUCCCUGACCACUGCUCCUGUUAGCCAGGGAUCAUGGGAGUUGUAGGCCAAAACAUCUGGAGGGCCGCAGUUUGGGGAUGCCUGCUCUUGAUGGUCUGGGGAACCCAAGAAGGCUUAUUUAGCUCCCAGUGCGAAGCCGAACAGGUCACGCUGGUGAGCUGUAUUUGGCUUCCUAGGUCCCAAGUUGGACAGACCUGCAAUUCAGAUGGUCAGACUCAUUUACUUGAGAUCUGUCUGAUGCCAAGGGGCCCGUCUUCCCACCCCAGCCAGAAAUGUUAUCUAGUGUUCUCAGUUCACAACCCUGAAAUCCAUGCUCUACCUUCUAAAAAUCCCCCCAGAUGCCUCACCAGCAGAGAUGUGGAAAUCUGUCAGUUUUGGUUUCUCUUCAUUUUUCAUUUUUCCAAUCAUAAAUUUGGUUCUCCGCUGUCAGGGGAUUGUUGCGGCUACUCCUGAGUAAAGACGCUCCAGUCCGUUCUGUCUUUAAGGGUUUUAUUGUGCAUACUACUGGUAUUUACAGUGCAGAGAUGGCAGGAAACAUGCCCUCCUAGUCACUCGCAGAAUCCGGCAAUGGCGCCCGUCUGCUUCGGGGCCAGCAUAAUACAGUAGCUUGGACACCCCAAAACGCUGCCCUCUCACCCUACAUCUGGGCUCUCACCUCAAUUCGGGUGCCGGAAGCGGCUGUGCUCCCUCCUCCAGCUGUGGGCUAGGGCGGUGCAGGGGCUCUGAUACAUCGCUGAGCCUUCCUUCCUCCACUAGUUGGCUUGGGCAGUGCAGGGGCUCUGAUACCUCACUGAGCCUUCCCUCCAUUCCGCUUCCCUCCUCAUUCCCCCCACCUGACCCGCUGCUACCGCUCUCGCUGGGCGAAGUGCUGGUCAGGAUGAUGGGGAGAGGCUCCCUGUAGGGAGUCCCCCUGACAUCUGUGUUUGAUUUUUUAAAAAAAGUAUUGCAUUUAUAUCCCACCCUUUUCUCCAAGGAGAUCAAGGUGGCAUAUGUGGUUUUUGCCCUCUUCAUCUAUUCCCCACAACAAUCCUGUGGUGUAAUUUAGGCUAAGUGGCAGUGACUGGCCCAAGGUGACCCAGUUUGCCUCAUGGCUGAGGAGGGAUUUGAACCCUGGUCUCCCUGGUCCUGGUUUGGAAUCCAACCACUACACCAUGCUGGUGUCUUCCUGAAAAUUCACCAGCAUUUUGGUGCAAAUAUUCCCCCAGUAAAGCCCUGUUUCUGUGUAAUUUUGCCUAACACAUGCACUUUUGCAAAGCAAAAAGUUUGUAUGCUUGUUUUGCCAACCCUCAGUGGUUGAGCCUCCUCCUUUAUCAAAACCAAGGUUUAGAAGGCUUUGCAGUGACUAAAAAGCUCUCCUUUUGUGUUGAUUGCAUGGCUCUAGGAUGCUGGAAACAGGGAACCCACUGGGACUCUGCUGCAGAAAUUGCAAUGGGUCUUCAGCCUCCCUGCAACCCCCGAACAACUACUUCUCUUGCCUUUGCUGAAGAGAUGCUGCCGGGGUAGAGAGCCCUGGGCAAGCUGGCCAUACAAGCUAGCCAUCUAAACCCUAAAGAAGCCUGGGGACUGUAGGUUAUCCCUAACAAAAGCGACAAUUCCCAGCACCCUUAACAAACUACAGCUCCCAGGAUCCUUUGAGGGAAGCCAUACCCUUUAAAGGUAUGGUAGCGGUGUGACUACAGUCUCCCCUGGAAUAAGGCAGCUUCCUGCGUUACUAGUUACUGAUCGGAAAACGCUGCAGUCAACUUCUCUUCCACUACAUUGGGCAACUUUCGUGUCAUUUUUUUAAACAUGCGGCAUCUGUUCAGAGGUUCUCCUAAUUUAGUGGUUUUCCCACCAGCCUGUAGAUCAGCAUCAUUCCUAUUUUCCAGUUGGAGAUGGAACAAAGGUGGAGAUUGCAUCUUGCCAAAGGCUACUCUAUCACUGAGCUCAAAUGUGGAUGCAGGAAUCACAGCUCCAAACAAGUGCCAUGCCCACUGCAGAGCAAGCAGGAGAGAAGAGAGACAUGGGCAAGAGGUUCUCCAGAAAGAAAACCACCCCUGCUUCUUACCUGGGCUGUCAGGACAAUCCCAGUUGACUUCUUCAACUUCCUGUCCUACAUGUUUCUGAUGGGUGAGAGGAACACAGAAAGAAAGGUACAUGCCUAGGCCCCAAGGGGCUACACAGCCGAUGCAUAAAAUCCUCAUUGCAUGCAAUGCAGUAGGUGCAGGGGCCAAAUAUGUCUUCCAUACAUCUCUAUCUGGCCCUUGGGAAUCUCCUCAGGCCACAUACCUCCCUCAAACAUGCUGACUCCUUGUUGGCCACACUUCCUCUCCCCAGCCCUACUUCAUCCCAUCCUUGAAUCUCCCCCCCCCCCUGGUAGGAAUGUGUCUUUGAACUCUGAUAUUAUUUAUUUAUAGAAGUAUUUCUGUACUGCCAUAUGGCAAGCUUUUGAGGCAGUGCAAACUGCUAAAAGAACAAAACAUCAUUUUUAUAUGGCGCGAUAUAUUUUCUAUUGUAAGUUUUUCCCCAUAAACUGCCCUGAGACCUGUGGGUAUAGGGCGGUAUAUGAAUUUAAUAAAUAAAUAAUCCUUAUUAGAUAAAUAAAUACAUAAAUUGAAUGUGAAAGUAGAGGUAAUCAUGAAGUCAACGGACUGCAAAGGUGUCUUGGCACAAAGAAGCCUUCAAGAGACUCCUCCUGCAAGUCAAAAAGUGAGGGUGGCUCCAGAGUCUCUGCAGGAAGAGUGCAACAUUUAACUCUAAAUUGUCUAGCUGAGUCCAGUCAGGCCUCUGGAAGACAGGGGACAAUGAACAGCCCCCCUCCAGGUGACUGAGGGUGCAGUCAUCUAGACACUUACCCAAAGAUAACUCCCACUGAAAUCAGGGGCUGAUUUCUGAGUAGACCUGUUCGGUAUCCCAAUGUGGACAUCCUUCCAUAGCAAAACCUUCCAUGCCGAAAACUUGAUAAGGGCUACACAGGAAGGCCAUUUUGGACGAUCUAGCUCGCCACUCUCUACAUUGGCUGGUGGUGGCUGUUCAGGGUUUUAAAAUAGUGAUCUUCCCUAGCUCUUUCUCUGGAGACGCCGGGGAUUGAACUCGGGACAUUCUGCACUCAAAGCCACAUGUUCACUGAGCUACAGCCCUCCCCAAAUUUAGAGCAUCAUACCACAUGACUCAUCUAGGUCAGUGUUUCCCAAACCUGGGCCUCCAGCUGUUUUUGGACUACACUUUCCAUCAUCCCUGACCACUGGUCCUACUAGCUAGGGAUGAUGGGAGUUGUAGUCCAACAACAGCUGGAGACCCAAGUUUGAAAAAAAAAUGAUCUAGGUCAUUCUUAUAAUGCACUGACUGGCAGUGACUGUCCACAGUUUUAGGCAAUAAUCUUUCCCAGAAACGCUUGGAGAUGCCAAAGAUUGAAUCUGGGAUCUCCUGCAUCCAUAGCAGGUAUUCUACCAUGGUCCUUCUCCUGUGGUCCUUCUGGACCAUUUUUCUCCAUGCCAUGCUACUUUUCCAUGUGUUGUUACUUUUGAAUGGAGGAGCUUUCAUUCACAGUUGGUAUACCCCAGACACAAGUCUGUCUCCUCAGUGAGAUGUUGGCUACCGUGAAAGGAAGCCAACCAAAAGCCCGGUCACGAGACCCACUUUUGCCUUAAUACCACCGUAAGAACUGAUACAGCCCCCUGGAUAUCUUUCCCCCCAAGGAGUUAUCUCAAAGCCAGGCAUUCUCUCAAAGUCAUUGAGCUGGCAAAGUAAACAGAGGUCAUUUUACCUGGGCUAAACAAUAGCGUUGCUGUCAUCCAUGCCAGAGAUGGAGCAGUUAGAAAAUGCACUUGAAAGCUGGCUUUGAGACUGGUUGCUAGGCUGAGACAGACCAGGUGCCCUGUCUCAGUUUGGGGGCAGACAGUGGAAUGAGGCACAUCAGCGGUCUGGCUGGAUCAACCUUCCUGGGCAAAUUCCAGUUCCACCAAGUAAGCAAAGAGACUGGGAAAACGGAGACCAAAUUUUGCAUAACGCUGAAGCGCGACUGACUUUAGCACGACACUUUCGGUAAUUUCUAAUGCAGCCCUUUGGUUUUGCACUCCUUCUGAAUGCUGUUGCACGUGGGGGAGAAAUUCAAUUCCAUUCACACUGAAAGACAAACGUUCAAAGCGAAGCCAAAUGUAGCUAUCCCUUGAAAUUCACGGCUCUCUGAAUUCUGCAAUGUGGUUCUCCAGUCAAGGGCUGUGUGCAAAAAUGAACAGGCUAGGGGCAAAAUGUGCAUAACAAUACACGGAUCAGUGAAAAUGACACACAAACAUGCAUUAUAUAUUUGGGGAAAUUCCUUUGCAAAUAUGUGCAUACCAGGCAAAAUUCCAUAAAAUGUGUGUAUAUUCGGAUAGAUUCACACUGAAAUGCUCAGGGGGACUUUCCGUUUGAAAAUAAAAAUAAAAAUCUUGAACUGAUGUGGGAAUGUGGAGAACAGAAUUUAAAAUUUAACGCUUAAUAGAUUCUGUUGAAAUUGAUCAAUGUUAUAUUACAGCAAAAUUAAUAAGAUAUUCUAAGAACAUUAAAACAAGAGAAACUGAAAAAGAGUGAAAUGCAUAGAUUUGUGCAUCCUUGCUUUCGCACUAUCAGAUCAACUCUCUCUUGAGAGAUCUCUUUCAGUCCUGGAGCCAAAUCGAAACCACUUGGGCCAUUUUGUGAAAGUUUUGAGCCAUGCUAGAAAAUUCAUCCUCCCUGCCCCAUGAUUUUUGUAGUGUUCCUUGUAUACUCUACCACCCCAACACUACCUGACACGAUCCCGUUCUUCCAUUCCACCCCAUCCCCUUCCUUCCUGUUCAUUUCCUUUUCAUUUUUCAUGGCUUUUAAAAUAAUUUCCCUCUUUUCCUAUGUUGUUUCAUAAAAAAUUGAAGGGACAAUGUGUGCCACACUGAAGUCAGAAAGGAAUUACUUUCACUUGCUUUCCUAAACAGUAGCUGCAUUGAUAUGUUGUACUUUAAUGUAAAGGGUCAUUUCUUGAUUGCCAAACAGCCAUUCUCCCUCACAGCCACACACUUUAAGAUUAUGCAAUAAUCUUAUAAUUAUAUGAUUAUACUCUAAUAAUAAUUAUUAAGAGUGUAUUGCAACAAUGAAUGCAGAUCUCCAUACGCUGCAUUUCAGCUAGAUCUGCUAUUUUCCACGGGCAAAGGAUCUGGAAUGCGCCAAUAUUUUCUUUUGGAAUGACUUUUGUUUUCCUUGAAGUUCUAUUGCACGUAACAGAACUAGCACACCAUUCUCUCUCUUAACUUCUUAACUUUAAUCCUCAUUUUCUCAAUAUACAUAAACAAUCCCUAUAUGCCCUCACACACACACCCCAAUAAACUUUCCACUUUCUUGAACCUGAAACACCUUGUGUUUUCUGUUGUUCCCAAAGCUUUGGAGCUCACAGACCAACUCCUCAUCAGUGUUCUUCUCACACGCGUUCUCCAGAGUGACCCUAGGAGCCAGUCCUCUGUAGCUGACUCACCUCCGUUCACUCUGAUUGGCUUUGACCAGAACAAAGGGUGAGGACUUCUCAGUGGCCCAAAAGCUCUCCUCUCCUGCAGAUUGGAUGGCUUUAGGGACAGGGACUCUACAACGACUCUGCUACAGAAAUAGUAUUAGUUCCUUGAUCCUCCAUGACCCUAGAUUACACUCUGUGUCAAUUCCUAGAGAGAUUUCUUUCCUGGCUCUACUCUCUGAGAUCCCUUUGAACUGGAGAUGCCAGGUAGUGAGUCUGGAACUGUAUGCAGGUGUGCUGAAAGGGAGCUUUUGCUAUUAUCUUCCAGAAAGCUACUGGACUGUAAUACUUUCCCCCCAACUUGCUUUUUGCUAGAUUUUUAUCUCUAUCCAGGGGGAAUUAGAGACUCCAAAACACCCUGGGUUUCACGGAGUUCAUUCUCUAUGCCAGCCUAUACCAUCCUUUGAAAACAGUAUUUAAGAAUAUGCGUUGCGUUCCUGAUGCGUUCCAGUGAAUCCAAGGGGAGAUUUAUUUUCUCUCCUUCAGCAGUUGCUGGCUCAGGACCUUUUUUAUAAUUAUCUUUGAUUUGCUUCUUAAUCUACUGCUGUCUUUAAUCCUCCCUCGGGCUCAUAAAGAGAGAAAGAGAGAGGGAGGGGGAAAAACUCUAUUGGCUUCAAAAAAUAACCUCCACCUUUUUUUGGCAACAGGUUAUUUUUCUAAGUGGCUAAUUGUGUGCCGGAUUUUUUUUAGGGAAAAAAAUCACUCGCGUCGUUCUUCCAGUAUGUGUCAGGCAUGGAUUCGGCAUUAAUCACUCGCUUGCUCUGUAUGGCAUUUAUUUCUUCAGGAAAUGAAUCAGACAAGAGGGACCUGCACCUCCUCACCCUCCCCUCACUCUGCCCGUUUUGCCAGGGAAGAAGGCAAGAGGGUUUUUGUGUGUGUGUGUCUUUCUCUCUCCCCUCCCUCCCCUCCUCCUAUAUAACACACCCCCUUGCCUGUCUCUCCACCAAUGAGUUUGGCUUUGCAAAUUGCGUCUUCUGCGGCUUGAGUCAUCAGCCACGAUCACUUCGCAGCAAUGAAACCGCAGAAUCCCCUUCCAAAAGCGAGCGGUGAGUGCCAGCCAGAAGCAAAUAGAGAAAUGAAUGUUCAUGCCCGUCAGGGUAACGAGAAUGGAAACAGUGUGUAUCACUUCUUAGUCUCAGCUCUGCCUGCCAACGCCUGAAUUCCUGCAGUUAAAAAGGGGGGACUGAAGUGAGGAGUUCAUUGCCUCCUCUCCUCUCCUAGCCAGAGUUCCUACUGGAACUCGUCCUUACUGUACUACUGGCUAUGUUGCAUGUGGUGGACUUAGAUUAGGAGAGCCCUGGGACGUCUGCGGAUGCAGAAGACUGUGUGCCUGUGUGUGCAUUCAGAGCCUAACUCAUAAAAAUAAAGGUGCUCAGAAUUAAGACAGCAGGAACCAUGUUUUGGGACCAGGGAUGGGGGAGAAAUUUGAUUCAGUUCACAUUUAAAGCUUCGGAAAGAAGAAGCAAUCUGAAACACAGCCAUCCUUUUAAACUUCGCACUCCUCUGAAUUUUGCAACGCAGUUCUCCAGUCAUGAAAUGUGUACAAAAAUGCACAAUAAUGGGUCGACGAUGCAUAUAAAUGUAUAGAUCAGCAAAAAGAACAUAUGAAACUGUAGUAAAUUAGGGAAAAUUGCUUUGCAGAUAUGUCUAUGAGGCAAGACCACAAUUUCUCUUGUUGUCUGUUGGGCAAAAUUACACGAAAACCUGUAUAUGAGACCUUAAUAGGAGGGCUAGGCAAUAAGACCCCUACUCCUCUCCCAGAGCUAAAGUUCCCAGAAUGGUUUAACAAUCAAAGCCUCUUUACAGAGAACUUGGGGAACUGGGAGGGGAAUGUGGUGGGUGGGUGUCUCCAAGCAAGUCUCAGCAUCCUUAACAAACUGCAGCUCCCACAAUUCUUUUGGGGAAUCCAUGACUGUUUAAAGUGGUUUCAUUGUGCUUUAAAUGUAUGGUGUGAAUAUGGUCUUAGUCAUGAUAACCAGGACUUUUUCUUUUCUUUUCUUUUCCAGCUGGAACUCAACAAAACUCAGUUCUGGCACUUCUCAUGCGGGUGCUAUUGUCAUUCUAAGAGAAUGAGGGAAGUGUUCAUGGUGCAUGGAUUCAAAAAACAGAUGUUUCCAGAAUGGGUAAGUCAAACACCUUUUGAUAUCUGGUAAAUCUACCUUAGGAGAAGGAACACCUCUGGAUCUUGAAAUCUGGGUAUUGGGUACUGAACAUACCAGAUCUUAAACCUGGGUCAAAUGUUCUGCAUGCUAACUCCACGAUAAAGAAAGCAUUGUAAGGUGAACUGAGAACUCCGACUUGAGUUGCAGGAACCUUGCUGAAGCUCAGGAUGUCUGGGCCUGGGCGAUGAAAAGCAGGAUAUUCAAAUGAUGAAUAACAACACUAAAUAAUGAUUUCCAUAAGGUCCCAUUGAAAUUGCACCUGAAAUUAUGUGGAACUCCCUGCCCCAAGAGAUCAGGUUAGCUCCCACUAUCUUUGUGUUCUGAUGGCAAUUGAAAAGUUUCACCAGAAGACAGGAAAGAAGCCUUAUACUGAGUCAGACCAAUGGUCAAUCUAGCUCUACACUGACUGGCAGCAGCCCUCCAGGGUUUCAGGUGGAGGAUGUUCACAGCCCUGCCUGAAGGUGCCAUUGGAGAUUGAAACUUUCUGCAUGCAGAGCAGAUGCUCAGACACUCAUCUUUCUUAAACAAGCUUAAACUUCUGCUACUGAUUAUUGUUAGUGUUACCCUUGAUGCUUUUGAUGCUGUUUUUUUUAAAAAAAAAUAGUUGCGUUAUUUUGUGCGUUGGUGAUUGAAUUAUUGGUGAUUUGACGUUUGCUUAUUGUUCUCAAGCUGCUCUGAGCAACUCUUUUCACAGGGAGAGAAGUGGGAUUUACAUUUUUUGAAUAAGUAAAUUGAAAUGCAAAUCCAAAGAUUCCUCCUUUGGUGAUGUGUAUUAAGGAGAGCUGACAGGGCUGGCCUAAUAAGCAUUUCUGCCUGAGGUGGAGCAGGAAAUGGUUCCUUCUUCCCACACCAAGUCAAGGUGCAGAACGCCCAAGGCCAGCCCAAGCUAAGUUGGCACCUAAGGAGCAAAAUCCCACAAGCACAUCACUCCUUCCCUGAGGCAAGUGCCUCACCCUGCCUAAUGGCAGAGCUGGCCCUGGGACCCAGAUGAGUUCUGGAAGACUAAUUGCAUUUCUAAAGAAAUGUGUGUGCUUUCCCCCCCUACACACAUGCCUUAACUAUUACCAGGUUUUGCCUAACAUGGAAGUUUGAAGUGAAUUCAAGGAAAAUCAGGAAAAACAUCAGUGAAAUUUCAGAGGGGAAAUAAGACACCCAGCGAAAUUUCUUCUCUCACACCCUCUAACUGCAAGUUAGGCACAUCAAUAUCUGCAUUUUGCCUCUCCUCCUAUCCUUAGAAGAUGCAGGACUGUCCAUCCAAGUUGCAGGUACAGAAAGAUCCCCAAACUGAGCAGGCCCAGACCAAUCCUGUAGACUUCAGAGCACCUUCAAUGUUGCCCUUUUCAAUAUUGUUUGUGAAAUGGACAACACAAGUCUGUGGUUUGGGGGGGGGGUUGUUUGUUUGUUUGUUUGUUUGUUUUUUAACAGACAGAAGUCAGUUUUUGAUCUUCAUUACAUGUGGACAUUCUUGGUGUGUGAUCACUCCACUUCACCAUCCCAUUUGCAGGAGGUGAACUGGGACAGCCAUCUGGCAUCUGUUUUUUUUUUUUUUUGUGGGGAGGGAAUUCAAACCCACAAUGUGCUUUUGGAGGGGAGGGAGCUUAGCAUGCAAGAAAAUCCCUGCUGGAUAUGACCAAAGACCACCUAGCAUCCUAUUCUCCUAGUCUCUAACCAGAUGCCUAUGGAAAGCCCAAAACCAGACCUGAGUGCAACAGCACUCACCCUGUUUGAGAUCCCCGGCAACUUAAUAUAGGGAAGAAAGCAUAGUUAUUCUUCAGAUCUCUCAGUUCUCCAAAUUUGGUAAUACAAGUCCUCAGCUUAUGGAACAUACCAUAAUGCAUAAAAUAAGUCUAAACCUCAGGGUAAAAUACACUCAGAAGUGUCUAUAUUUAGAUAAUAUGUGAUAAAGUGCAUUUAAGCAGUAUUUAGAUAUUAAUUUUAGGAUGGAUUUUGGUGGGGUUUUUUUUUAAUAAAAAACACAGACAAAUGUGAAAAUGCAUGUGAAAUUAACAUAGACUCAAAAUACUCAUUAGCCCUUUCCUAAUUAUAAUCCUACCCCACUAAAUCUGUUCUGAUAGAGUAGAAUUGGGGAGGGCACAAGGUGUGUCUGGGUUGUUGUGCAAGUGGAAAUCCUUGUGCUGAUGUCUUAGUUGGGUACUGCCCAUGAUGAAUAAAUAUUUCCUUGGUGGUCUGGCAGUCAGAAUUGCACCUGCAACAUGAUUUGCUGCUUGUAGGGGGCCCACAAGGAUAUUCACUGGUGGCUUAUGCUUCCUCCAAAGUGCUCAGAGCAGCUUCCAUCUGGUUCCCAGGUGGUCCCCCAUCCAAGCAGGUUACAUGGCCAGGCUUGCUUAGCUUCAACAAUAGAACUGUUUUAUGAGCCUUUAGACUAUCAUCUGGUCAUAUCCUCCAUCUCGCAUUCAACCUUUAUGAGCUCAUAUGUGUAGGUGCUUUGGAGGAUGUACCAGACAUCUUUUGGACCACUUCCUGAUCCUGUUAGCACAUGUGGUGUUAGAAGGAGGAGGAGCUCAAUUUCAAUUCUGAAACCCCAGGAGGUUCAAUAGGGUGGAGGUUGUGGCUGUUUCCCUUCCACAUGCACGCAUUUUCCAGCUGCUUCUGGCUAGCUUUCCUUCUCCCACCUAGACAGGGAUGUCCUCUGCUUGGUAGAGAAGGCAGCCUUACCUGUGGUGCUUCACUGACUCCUGUUCAAGGCUCAGAAUUGUGUGGGGCUGCCAUUCAGUGGAAAGACAGAGCAGCGUAGGGCUCAUCUUGCAGUUGGGCACCACUGCAUCCAAUAAAGAUGCAGCAGAAUUUGCCGUACUUAGAGAAGAUCUGGCAAAUGCAAGGUCAUCAGGACAGGUAGAUAAGGCAGCGGGAUGAAGGACAGAUCACAAAGCAUGUGGGCUCCAAGUGAAGGCAACUUUGAAUGUUGCUCCAAGGUCAAUCAGUAGAAUAUGGAGGACGGGAACACUGUGGGAGGGAGGUGGGUGAACUUGACUUCAGAUCCCUGGAGAAGUCAGCCCACACUUAAGGAGCAGGCCUGGAUCAGGACCCAGUGGAUGCAGGACUAAUUCAGCCCCCUGCCGCCCCCUCCCUGCCCAAUGCCGUGGCUUUCUAUGGACCACCAUUACAGCAUUUCCACCUGCUCAUUCAGUGGGUGGAAUGAGGGAUGCCUCUGUCCAACCCAAAGCUCUCCAGCCCAGCGCAAAGAGGAGCUGGAUUGAAGCCUGGGUUGCAUUCUUCAGCUGUGUCUCUUCCAUGGCAGUGAAGGUGGGAUGUCAGGAGCUGAGAUAUCCUCCAGACACUGGAAGAGAGACAUUCGAAGGGGCCAGUGGAAAAGCUCUCAUGGCCCUAGGAGAUGAUUCUUUGUGAUCUAUGGGGAUCUUACAGGAGAGCUCACUCCUGGGGCCAUCUUGAGAUGAAGAGAUAUUUGACUCUAGAUCCUGGGCCAUUUGUCACAUUCCACUCCCCCCUGUGCUGAGAAUAUUUCUGUCAAGGGAAAUUGCAGCAUAUUAUGUAGCCUUGGGCUAUAGCUGUUAGUGGAAGCCCUCCAUAGCAGAGCACUUUUUUUUUUGCAUGCAGAAGGCUCC